UAACAUAGAAAUAAUGCUCAGUACCGCUUUGAAAAUAGUAACUCUUAAGAGACCAAUUUCCAAAACGAUAAAAAACUCUUUUUCUACACUAAGUUUCAGUGGAAGGAGAAGAAUAGAGUUGGUUAAUCUUCAUUGCAAUAUUCCAAUUAUACCAGAUGAAUAACUAUGUAUUUACGUAUAUUUUUAAAGUUCUUUUCCAUU
This 201-nucleotide small nuclear RNA is filed under the name Cryptosporidium parvum. The record is from RNAcentral. Lineage: Eukaryota; Apicomplexa; Conoidasida; Eucoccidiorida; Cryptosporidiidae.